RNAcentral lists this ribosomal RNA (491 nucleotides) under uncultured bacterium. RNAcentral describes it as "bacterial SSU rRNA". It matches the Rfam family "Bacterial small subunit ribosomal RNA", at positions 24 to 518 of the family's 1533-position model. The record is from RNAcentral.
UCAGGAUGAACGCUGGCGGCGUAGCUUAACACAUGCAAGUCGAACGAAGCAUUUAGCGGUACAUUUCGGAUGGAGUAAAUGACUGAGUGGCGACGGGUGAGUAACGCGUGGAUAACCUACCAUAUACAGGGGGACAACAGUUGGAAACGACUGCUAAUACCGCAUAAGCGCACAGUGCCGCAUGGCACGGUGUGAAAAACUCCGGUGGUAUAUGAUGGAUCCGCGUCUGAUUAGCUAGUUGGUGAGGUAACGGCCCACCAAGGCAACGAUCAGUAGCCGACCUGAGAGGGUGACCGGCCACAUUGGGACUGAGACACGGCCCAAACUCCUACGGGAGGCAGCAGUGGGGAAUAUUGCACAAUGGGCGAAAGCCUGAUGCAAGCGACGCCGCGUGAGCGAAGAAGUAUUUCGGUAUGUAAAGCUCUAUCAGCAGGGAAGAAAAUGACGGUACCUGACUAAGAAGCCCCGGCUAACUACGUGCCAGCAGCGGC